AAAACUUACCUUAUCUAUAGAUGCGAUAAUUGCUGUUUCCAGCUCUGAGUCUGACACAUGCAUUUUUCUCCUAAGCUGGUGUUGAAUACAGAAUCUUCUGACUGACAUUUCUGAACAUCUUGAGACACCUAACAGCUGCAGCGAGGUGGAAAUCUCGGCAUGUGUUUUCCCCAACCCAGUCUCACUGCAGUUUGUGACAUAGUCACGAAAUUUAAUCUAUUGGUUCGUGUUCGUGGACACAAAUUUCCUUUUUUUUUCGUGUCAAUCAGCACGACUUUCGAUCUCAUGUAUUUCAAUAGGAGGCAUCUUUCGUGUCUGCACCACGUUUUUCUUUCUGCCACUCGGAAGCAUUGUUUUUUUUCUCAUUUGUUAUUCAUUUUUAAACUUUAAGCACUACAUUACUCAACAUUUAACCAGGACAUUUGAUCCUUGUUUUUAUUGCUUUAUUCUGUAGGGUACUAACCAUUGUGCUUCGGUUUCUUUUCUGAGAAAUGCCGUUUUUCCAUCUAUUUGGUGUGUCAAAUCGGACAGUAAACUAAAUAUUACAGUACCCAUGAGCCUUAUCUACUUUUACUAUGUUAAAGUAGAUAAAACUACCUGAUGACCCACCGCCGAAAGCUUUUAAUGAUAUCCUCAUCUUUCUUUCAACACAUAAACACGAAAGUGUGCUUGAGAAUUCAACAAUACGAUGUUCAUGACCAUCAGUUUUAUUUGAUUCUCCUUCUAUUGUGAGAACGGGGGGUUAGUUGUGGUUAUUAAUUAAAUUAAAAUAAAAUAAAAAAUAACUUAAAUUAAUUAGUGGACGCCCGCAUUACCGUGAACCUCAGCAUCCGUUGCUAUGGAGAUGGAGCCAAUCCGCUUCGCGAUUGGGUGAUUUCUGCAGGCCGCGAAUUCUCCGUCAUUGCGCUCAAACCACUUCUCAGGUAAGCCACGAGACUUGAAUGUAAUGAUCAAAUUUGUUUAAAUGUUAUAAUUGAUCCUUUUCUUUGCCAUUAGACUCACAUGGUUUACAUGUUAGAGCAACGAAUUAAAGGCCGACCAAUGGUUUCCAUAUUAACAGUAAAAAAAAGAAGAAAAAAGACGCGCCUUUUGUGCAGUCAUACAGAAAAUGGGAAAAACGUGAAUUUUAUUUAUUUAUUAAAGAAAAUUGGUAUCUCUCACUAUCGGGGUACACAUUUUAAACCUUUCUCAACAUAUCUAGCCUUCACUACAUAAUGAACAUUUUCUGUUCUCCUGCAGAUCCUGUCAAACUUCACCUUCACCCUAUAGAUAGGCUACACCUGAUUCCCAAAACCCAAAGGCACUUUUAAGAGCCAACCUCUAUCUUUCUCUUCAUCAUUUUCUAUCUCUAUCUCGCACAACCUCUCUGUCCAUCUAUAUUUCUAUCCAUCUCUUCAAUCUCCAUACUGUUAUCUAUCUCAAUUUCUCAGUUUUUCCUCUCUUUUUCUGUCUUUGUCUACUUGUCUGUCUUAUCUGUCUCUGUCUGUCUGUCUGUCAGUGUUGCAAUGGCCACCAGACAUAUCCUUGACUCACAGGACCCCCAUUACCAAGAGGGGAGACGCAUGGCUCUUGAACUGAAACAUGACCACGUUCUAGCUGAAGCCAGGAGAGCAGCUGUGGAGAGGAAACUGUCAGGCUCUGGAGGAGACCCUCCACGGACCUCUAAAAGGGUCUCUGUAGGUCGUGGCAAGCCGAGGGGAAGGCGAGGAGGGCGACGCCAAGCCUCAGCUACAGGUUAUAUUCACACACCCCCGGUUGAGUGUUCCCUGUCAUCCAGCGUGGAGGUUCCCUCAGAAAUACUAAAUCCUUAAGAGGAAUUUGAGAAAAAUAUGGAGAGGCUCUCAAACAUUUUGGCAUCAUGUCCUUCUGCUGAGCCUCAAAGAAGCUCUGCUUCAUCAUGGUCUUUUCGGCAGCAGAAAGCCUCAGAGCGCUGGAAAGAGGCAAGACCAUACCACCUACGAUGCCUUAUCGCAAAGGAGGCUGUUGGUCAUCC
Long non-coding RNA from Megalobrama amblycephala (Wuchang bream), 1993 nucleotides. RefSeq lists it as uncharacterized. The record is from RefSeq and is a predicted model, not a curated record. NCBI's taxonomy places the organism in Eukaryota, Metazoa, Chordata, Actinopteri, Cypriniformes, Xenocyprididae. The transcript is spliced from 4 exons.